AUACCGUGAAACUGCGAAUGGCUCAUUAAAUCAGUUAUCGUUUAUUUGAUAGUACCUUACUACUUGGAUAACCGUGGUAAUUCUAGAGCUAAUACAUGCUGAAAACCCCAACUUCGGGAGGGGUGUAUUUAUUAGAUAAAAAACCAACGCCCUUUCGGGGCUUCUUGGUGAUUCAUGAUAACUUUACGGAUCGCAUGGCCUUGCGCCGGCGACGGUUCAUUCAAAUUUCUGCCCUAUCAACUUUCGAUGGUAAGGUAUUGGCUUACCAUGGUUUCAACGGGUAACGGGGAAUUAGGGUUCGAUUCCGGAGAGGGAGCCUGAGAAACGGCUACCACAUCCAAGGAAGGCAGCAGGCGCGCAAAUUACCCAAUCCCGACUCGGGGAGGUAGUGACAAUAAAUACUGAUACAGGGCUCUUUUGGGUCUUGUAAUUGGAAUGAGUACAAUUUAAACCUCUUAACGAGGAACAAUUGGAGGGCAAGUCUGGUGCCAGCAGCCGCGGUAAUUCCAGCUCCAAUAGCGUAUAUUAAAGUUGUUGCAGUUAAAAAGCUCGUAGUUGAACCUUGGGUCUGGCUGGCAGGUCCGCCUCACCGCGUGUACUUGUCCGGCCGGGCCUUCCUUCUGGAGAACCUCAUGCCCUUCACUGGGCGUGUUGGGGACCAGGACUUUUACUUUGAAAAAAUUAGAGUGUUCAAAGCAGGCCUUUGCUCGAAUACGUUAGCAUGGAAUAAUAGAAUAGGACGUGCGGUCCUAUUUUGUUGGUUUCUAGGACCGCCGUAAUGAUUAAUAGGGACAGUCGGGGGCAUCAGUAUUCAAUUGUCAGAGGUGAAAUUCUUGGAUUUAUUGAAGACUAACUACUGCGAAAGCAUUUGCCAAGGAUGUUUUCAUUAAUCAGUGAACGAAAGUUAGGGGAUCGAAGACGAUCAGAUACCGUCGUAGUCUUAACCGUAAACUAUGCCGACUAGGGAUCGGGCGAUGUUCUUUUUCUGACUCGCUCGGCACCUUACGAGAAAUCAAA
This 1017-nucleotide ribosomal RNA is filed under the name Equiseticola fusispora. RNAcentral describes it as "SSU rRNA". It matches the Rfam family "Eukaryotic small subunit ribosomal RNA", at positions 76 to 1102 of the family's 1831-position model. The record is from RNAcentral. Lineage: Eukaryota; Fungi; Ascomycota; Dothideomycetes; Pleosporales; Phaeosphaeriaceae.